Molecule: non-coding RNA, 1866 nt
Organism: Doryrhamphus excisus (bluestripe pipefish)
Lineage: Eukaryota; Metazoa; Chordata; Actinopteri; Syngnathiformes; Syngnathidae
Source: RefSeq, a predicted model, not a curated record
CUCGGUGAAAAGCAAGCUUGACUCACGGCAGAAACAAAACGGGAAAACCUAAUAAACACGCUGAAAGUUGCUCUAAACGCUUGUUUCUUGGGAAAUUAUCGUCUUUUUACCACUUUUUUUUUUUUUUUACAAAAACGCUUCAUAAAGCAAGAAAAGCAAGCCUUGUGUGCGGAGUUUUCUUCAUUGGUUCGCUGGCUGUCUAGCGGCACACAGACACCUGUUGUGAGGACAGGACAACACGUAAAAGAUGAACAUCUUGCAAACUGGAAAGACUCCCGAUGCAAAGCAUGACUUUUACAGCAGCAUAUUUUCUGGAGGCUGUCAUACUCACAGAUGCACUAAUGUUUUCAGUCCACGGAAAGCGUACGGCGAUAUGGAAGUGAUUUGGUUGUUUUCGAUGAACCUUUAGAGGAGGAAAAAAGACAAACGUUCAGCCAAUUGAUGAAGAAGCCACUCUAGAAGAAGAAGAAGGUGUGGUCCGUACUUACAGAUACUCCAGAUGAGGAAGACCCAGGAAAGCAUCCUCGUUUAUUGACUCCAGGUUAUUGGCGGUGAAAAGGCUGCACACAGAGAGAUCACCACUCGGAAUUCUACUAUUUGAAGUCAUCAGUCAUGCCAUUAUUUACCUUUUUGUAAACUAGUUUACAAAAAAGGUAUGAUCUCAUUCAUUCAAACAAAACAAAAACUUAAAUUAUAUUAGGAAAGCAGGAAGUGAACAAAUGUAACAGUUACUGAUUGUAAAAGUACCAGAUGGAGGGGUAGGAUUUAAUAAGCUUUGCUUCUGCCUACUCCUUUUGGACAUGUGAAACUGUGAACUGAUUAUGUGAUGCAUUCAAUUGUAACCUGAGUUGUGGACUCCUAUAGAGCAGCUACGCACAAUAACUCGCACAGAAAACGUUCUAGUUCUUCCAGAAUCUGCACCCAUUCAGCUGGAUUUCUUUGGAUUUUGUGGUUCCAGUGAAAACGGUCUGUUUUAAUGUAUUCCACCCACGGCCCGCCUCAGGGCGCACAGAAAACAUUCUAGUUCUUCCAGAAUCUGCACCUAUUCAGCUGGAUUUCUUUGGAUUUUGUGGUUCCAGCGAAAACAGUCUGUUUUAAUGUAUUCCACCCACGGCCCGCCUCAAGGCACGCCCACCCUGCUGUGGUAGGUCACACCACCAGUGUUUGGUUUGUGUUGGAUCCUGAAUCCGAUCCUUCGAGGCGUCUCUGAAUGGUAAGUAGCUUUAGCAUUUUAACCUUUAGCAUCGGUAACGUGUCAUGUGCCGUUGUGUAGAGCCACUGGUUGUUUUGUGACCUUAUUCCCAUCAUGUUACUACUUUGUCCCCACCUCAUAUUCCAAAAAUGACAACAUAUUUUUCUUGUUUGUUUCUCAUAAUAUUACAAUGUUUGUGUUUGUGUUACUUUUUCCCAUUUGAUUACAACUUUUUGCUCUGAAAGCAAUAGUUUUUAUUUUUCUUGUGUAACCUCACCAUCAGCACUGGAGUCCAUAGGCGACAACUUGGACCACUAAGGACAGUUCUGCUUGGAUUUCGGUGAUGAAGGUACCGUAGUUGUACUCAUGUGAGUAAAGAGUUUUGGCUUCUCAGAACAAGUUCAAAAGAUGACUCAAUACUUAGCAUCAUAAUAAUGCCUUCUCAAUAAACACAAAAACUAAGCGGAACUACGUUCUUCAUCAUGGAAAUGCUACCAGAACUGGCCUCAGUAGACCAAGUGGGGGGUCCGUGGCCCUUAAUGGACGUCAUACAACUUUAUGUCAUUCAUUCAUUUUCUACUGCUGUUCCUCAUGAGGGUUGCGGGGGUGCUGGAGCCUAUCCCAGCUGUCUUUGGGCGAGAGGCGGGGUACACCCUGGACUGGUGGCCAGCCAA